UACGUAGGGGGCGAGCGUUGUCCGAAGUUACUGGGCGUAAAGCGCGCGUAGGCGGGCGGGUAAGUCGGAAGUGAAAGGCUGGGGCUCAACCGCAGCAGGGCUUCCGAGACUGCCCGUCUUGAGGGCGGCAGGGAGAGGUGGAAUGGCUGGUGUAGCGGUGAAAUGCGUAGAGAUCAGUCGGAACACCGGUGGCGAAGGCGGCCUCUUGGGCCGUUCCUGACGCUGAGGCGCGAAAGCCAGGGGAGCGAACGGG
RNAcentral lists this ribosomal RNA (253 nucleotides) under uncultured Armatimonadota bacterium. RNAcentral describes it as "uncultured Armatimonadetes bacterium partial 16S ribosomal RNA". It matches the Rfam family "Bacterial small subunit ribosomal RNA", at positions 524 to 776 of the family's 1533-position model. The record is from RNAcentral. Lineage: Bacteria; Bacillati; Armatimonadota.